This 459-nucleotide ribosomal RNA is filed under the name uncultured bacterium. Its description in RNAcentral is "partial 16S ribosomal RNA". It matches the Rfam family "Bacterial small subunit ribosomal RNA", at positions 338 to 795 of the family's 1533-position model. The record is from RNAcentral.
CCUACGGGGGGCAGCAGUGAGGAAUAUUGGUCAAUGGGCGCGAGCCUGAACCAGCCAAGUCGCGUGAGGGAAGACGGUCCUAUGGAUUGUAAACCUCUUUUGUCGGGGAGCAAAAGACGCCACGCGUGGCGUUCCGAGAGUACCCGACGAAAAAGCAUCGGCUAACUCCGUGCCAGCAGCCGCGGUAAUACGGAGGAUGCGAGCGUUAUCCGGAUUUAUUGGGUUUAAAGGGUGCGCAGGCGGAAGAUCAAGGCAGCGGUAAAAUUGAGAGGCUCAACCUCUUCGAGCCGUUGAAACUGGUUGUCUUGAGUGAGUGAGAAGUAUGCGGAAUGCGUGGUGUAGCGGUGAAAUGCAUAGAUAUCACGCAGAACUCCGAUUGCGAAGGAAGCAUACCGGCGCUCAACUGACGCUCAUGCACGAAAGUGUGGGUAUCGAACAGGAUUAGAUACCCUAGUAGUC